Molecule: long non-coding RNA, 221 nt
Filed under: Gossypium barbadense (sea-island cotton)
Lineage: Eukaryota; Viridiplantae; Streptophyta; Magnoliopsida; Malvales; Malvaceae
Description: long non-coding RNA (GBAR_LNC007213)
Source: RNAcentral
GAAUUGGUCACACAAACUUCUAGGAACCUGAAAAGUUAAUUCACAAGAAGAUCGAACAGGUGGGUUAGUAAAAUAAUCCUCACUUGCUCACUUGUUUUCUCACUCGAUUCUUUUGUUUCAAUUUCUUUUUCCACUUUUUUUUCUUGUUCACAUUCUUUUUCUCUCUCAAACUCUUUUUCAUUCUCAUUUUCUUUUUCUUUUUAUUUUUCAAAGGAUUUUUC